This 715-nucleotide ribosomal RNA is filed under the name uncultured archaeon. Its description in RNAcentral is "bacterial SSU rRNA". It matches the Rfam family "Archaeal small subunit ribosomal RNA", at positions 102 to 817 of the family's 1478-position model. The record is from RNAcentral.
GGAUAACCUGCCCUUAGGACUGGCAUAACCCCGGGAAACUGGGGAUAAUUCCGGAUAGUUCAUGGUAGCUGGAAUGCUCCAUGAUCGAAAGCUAUUGCGCCUAAGGAUGGGUCUGCGGUCUAUCAGGUAGUAGUGGGUGUAAUGUACCUACUAGCCGACGACGGAUACGGGUUGUGGGAGCAAGAGCCCGGAGAUGGAUUCUGAGACAUGAAUCCAGGCCCUACGGGGCGCAGCAGGCGCGAAAACUUUACAAUGCGGGAAACCGCGAUAAGGGGACACCGAGUGCCAGCAUCUUAUGUUGGCUGUCCGCAUGUAUAAAUCACAUGUGUUAGCAAGGGCCGGGCAAGACCGGUGCCAGCCGCCGCGGUAACACCGGCGGCCCGAGUGGUGGCCACUAUUAUUGGGUCUAAAGGGUCCGUAGCCGGUUUGGUCAGUCUUCCGGGAAAUCUGACGGCUUAACCGUUAGGCUUUCGGGGGAUACUACCAGGCUUGGGACCGGGAGAGGUAAGAGGUACUACGGGGGUAGGAGUGAAAUCUUGUAAUCCUCGUGGGACCACCAGUGGCGAGGGCGUCUUACCAGAACGGGUCCGACGGUGAGGGACGAAAGCUGGGGGGCACGAACCGGAUUAGAUACCCGGGUAGUCCCAGCCGUAAACUAUGCUCGCUAGGUGUCAGGGACGGUGCGACCGUUUCUGGUGCCGCAGGGAAGUCGUGA